AGAAGCUAGGGUUUUAAGUAUUCCAUUCAGACGAUGGCAAGAAAAGAACAUCAACAACAAUCAUCAACCAUCUUAGCUAGAGAAGUAGAGCCUAAAGAUGCCAUGAUAGGGCAGGGCGGGGCGACGCAUGCAGACAUUUUGGAUUGGCCACAACAUAUGUUUGGUUUUCAGGUAGUUGAUAAGCUUCAAUGGUAAUGGAGAUGGUGACACGGUAGGGAGUUAUUUUUGUGUGGUCCCUUUGUUCAAUGGAUUUUGACAAAGGUUGUCUCUGUUUUUGUUCACUCAUGAUAGUUGAUCAUGACCGUGGGUUGCAUCAAGUACAGAAGGAGCCCUCUGUGUUUGGGAUUAGUUAUUUAAACUCUUGAUUGAUAGCUUGUUGAAUUCUUAAUAAGAGACCUGUUAUAUGUGUGAAGAUUAAAGCUAAAUAAUCAUUGACGGCUCAAGUUUUUAAAUAAUAUAUAUCAUUUCAAGCGUCAAGAAUAAUAAAGAACAACUAGGCCUGUCGCUGUGGCUGUGUUUCUUAAAGCUUUCGAAGCGACUUGGCGCGUGUUCGAGACUCCGCUCUCACGUCCUUUGGGAACAAGGUGGAGAAGCUUUGGGAUCUUUCAAACAUUACUGUGAAUAAGCAAGCUGUGUUUGGUGACAACAGUUCUU
Molecule: long non-coding RNA, 654 nt
Filed under: Helianthus annuus (common sunflower)
Lineage: Eukaryota; Viridiplantae; Streptophyta; Magnoliopsida; Asterales; Asteraceae
Source: RNAcentral